RNAcentral lists this unclassified non-coding RNA (186 nucleotides) under Citrobacter freundii. RNAcentral's name for it is "GlmZ_SraJ". The stretch from base 1 to 148 matches the Rfam family "Glm Y RNA activator of glmS mRNA". From Rfam's summary of the family: This family consists of a number of bacterial RNA genes of around 167 bases in length. The record is from RNAcentral. Lineage: Bacteria; Pseudomonadati; Pseudomonadota; Gammaproteobacteria; Enterobacterales; Enterobacteriaceae.
GUGGCUCAUUCACCUUCUUAUGUCAGCCCCUUCGGGACGUGCUACAUAAACUUCGAAUGACGCACAACAAGGUGCCUGCCGUCCAACAUCUGAUAUUAGCGAAGCUCAUAUCAACCUCCGGGCGAAACGUCGAGUUAGGCACCGCCUUAUUCCACAACAAAGCCGGGUUAAUCCCGGCUUUGUUGU